Molecule: long non-coding RNA, 274 nt
Organism: Hyalella azteca
Lineage: Eukaryota; Metazoa; Arthropoda; Malacostraca; Amphipoda; Hyalellidae
Exons: 3
Source: RefSeq, a predicted model, not a curated record
AAGACCGGCCCUCUCUUCCAGGAGGACCUCGUGUCCACGGACGCGUUCAUCAUCGACAACGGCACGAACGGAAUAUGGGUUUGGAUCGGCAAGAAAGCGUCGGCCAAGGAGCGCCAGGAAGCCAUGCGCAACGCGCUAGGAUUCGUGGCCAAGAAAGGCUACAGCCCCAACACACGUACCACACGCGUCAUUGAUGGCGGGGAACCGCAAGACUUCCAGAGUCUCUUCAAGAACUGGAAAGUCAAAUCGGAAACCAAGGUCGCAGGCUUCAAAC